RNAcentral lists this long non-coding RNA (1022 nucleotides) under Capra hircus (goat). RNAcentral describes it as "lncRNA (ENSCHIG00000004543.1)". Lineage: Eukaryota; Metazoa; Chordata; Mammalia; Artiodactyla; Bovidae. The record is from RNAcentral.
GAUCCCCCCACCCCUCCCAGGCGGGACCGAGGCGCACGAGCGCGGGCUGGGUGCCCUGCCGGAGGUGGGUGCUCCAGGCGGUGGGAAAGAAAGACAGCGCUCACCCGGGCCCGGGCCGCGUUCCCGGGUCGUCUGCAGGAACCCAGGGCAUUGAGGAACAUACAAGAAGAAAGGGACCAGAGCAUCACUUCUCCCAGAGGAGCCUGAUUCGACAACGACCCUGCCUGGAGUUCAGAAGGCGGUCUUUGGUGGGAUUUCGGUAUCCUGAGCUUCGGGCCUCCUAAACCCAUUUGACCUCAUCAUCUCCUUGUGUGAUGGCUCCUUUUCUCAACCAAGACCCCUCAGCGAGGCUUUUUCCCACCAACCUGUCUGAGGAGCCUGUGAGGGAUUUGCCUUUGCCAAGGCUGAUUUUUCUGAAGGAGAUAAAUAGUUGCAGAAAAGAGAAUAUUUAUCUUGAUGGAGGUUCACAGGAAUAUGGUGACUUGACCUGCAUGGACAGCUGCAAGAACAAAGCAUUCCUACACCAAGAAGUCUGCAACAACCAACCACUCCUCUCUCUCACUUUGCCUUUAAAAAUGCUUUGCUGAAAUCUUUGGGGGAGUUUGGGUUUGGGGGCUCAUUUAUUCUCUUUGUGUGGCCCUUCAAUAACACUUUCUCUGCUCCAAACUUUGUUUCAGUAUUGUUUGAUCACACUGUGCAGGGUACACGAUCUUGUACUAGGUAACAGAAGUAGGGCUUAGAAGUACCCUGAUUGUGAGGUGUUGCCAAAACACUGACAGCAAGGAGGAAGGCAAGUUGGAGCCCCUUAAACCUGUGUCACUCAGCCUAGUGGUCUCCCACAACCUGAAGCGGGCUGAGUAGGAAUAGUGGGGCAGACAGGAAAGAUAUGGGGUUACUUGGGUGCUAUGAGCUGCUUCAUUCUGCUGUCUCCUGGCAUCCUGAGAUGCUGCUUAUAUAAACGUUUGGCCAAGAAUAGAGAGAUAGAGAUAGAGAGAGAGAGAGAGAGAGCACGAGCGAGCGAG